Molecule: non-coding RNA, 987 nt
Organism: Marmota flaviventris (yellow-bellied marmot)
Lineage: Eukaryota; Metazoa; Chordata; Mammalia; Rodentia; Sciuridae
Source: RefSeq, a predicted model, not a curated record
GAAAAAUAAAUGUAUAUCCAUAUGGAAUCCCACUAAACAUCAAUAAAAAGAAAUCAUGGAUGAAACUUGGAGACCUUUUGGGAAUUCAAGCCAUUUAGAAAGAUACCACCUGUUGUAUAAUACCAUUUUUUUGUGUAAAGUUUAAAAUAUGCAAAUUUAUUUAUUUAAUUUUUGGGGAAUAAAACCUAGGGUGCCUAAAAACUGAGUUACAACCGUAGCCUGUUUUGUUUUAAUGCUUUUUAAGAUAAAAAGUCAUAGUUGGGUACAAUAACUUUCUUUUAUUUUCAUGUGGUGAUGAGACUCAAACCAAGUGCCUCACAUGUGCUAGGCAAGCACUCUACUACUGAGCUACAACCACAUCCUCACCUUUUGAGAGAGCGACUCAUUUGCUGUGGGACUUGCCCAACUCACUUAGGGAUGAAGUGAAGCGUGUGCCUCGAAUGUGUAAACCAAAAGAAUUGGACUGGAGUAACCUCAUUCCAUCCUAGUACACUGGUGGUCUCAUUGAUAUGUUGGCUCUGGUGAAAUCUCCAUUGCAAUGUUUCCACAUCUCUCCCCACUGGAGCCAUACCAUCCAGUUCAUCAUCAAAUUCUGCAAACUGGGAAAACUCUCUCCGAUGGUGUUCUGGAAAUGCCCAAUGAGCAUCAUCACAGAGGAGCCAAUCAGCUGGAAGUUUUCUGGGGCCACUUCGGCUGCGGCUCUCAACACACCAGCAUUAGAAGUCUGCAGAGAUCACUAAGAUAAAAUAGUGCAGUGUGCUGCAGAGUGGAUCAUUCACAGGAUCAGAAGAGACGAGAUCAGAAGAGAAGAGAUGUCUUGCACAUUACCGAAAGCUAGGAAUAGGAACUAAAAUGUUAAAUAAUGCCUUAAAGAUCUGUGGAAAAGAUGGCACUUAUUUUGACGGGGGGAGUACUGGGCAUUGAACUCAGGCACUGGACCACUGAGCCACAUCCCCAGCCCUAUUUCGUAUUUUAUAUAGAGACAGG